Molecule: long non-coding RNA, 627 nt
Filed under: Daucus carota (carrot)
Lineage: Eukaryota; Viridiplantae; Streptophyta; Magnoliopsida; Apiales; Apiaceae
Description: long non-coding RNA (DCAR_LNC006876)
Source: RNAcentral
GCGAUUAUGUGGUCUGGUGUGGGUGUGUGUGUGUAUAUUCUGGUGUCCGUGUGCGGAAUCAGUGUGUGGGUGCUCAGUAUGCGUGCGUGUGUGCAGGUGGGUAUAUGUAUUCGUGUGUGGGCCCGAGUUGGCCGAGUUUUGACUACCUGGCUGUGUAGAUUAUUCGAGUGGCUCGAGUCCUGAAUUGAUUUUCUUAUACGUGUUUAUUUAUUAUUUCAUUUGCUGGUUCGUUUGACUGAUUAUCGAGGUUAGUUAGUAUUUAUAAAUUAAGUAUUUCGAUUAUUUCAGAGAUUGAUUACAGGUUUGUUGGGAUUGUUGUGUCGAUAUGAUAUCGACUGGUAGUCCGAUAAAUAGAGGAGGUGCUGCCCAAUUUUAAAUAAAAUUUAGAUUUUAAAAUUAUACGGGAGCGUAUCCUAUAAUUAUCAGGCUAUUAAUCGAAUNCAGGGGCGGAUCUAGGAAGAGGCACGCGGGGACACGUGUCCCCCCUAAAUCUUUUUUUUACAUUUUUUCACCAUUCUAAAUUUUACAAAAUUAUAAAAGUGCCCCCAAAAAAUUUAAAGGUGUAUAGGUGUUUUCCGAAAAUUUGCUUCGUGCCCCUCUAACAUUCGUGGGCUAGAUCCGCCCCUG